RNAcentral lists this ribosomal RNA (117 nucleotides) under Corchorus olitorius. RNAcentral describes it as "5.8S ribosomal RNA". It matches the Rfam family "5.8S ribosomal RNA", at positions 41 to 154 of the family's 154-position model. Rfam says of the family: 5.8S ribosomal RNA (5.8S rRNA) is a component of the large subunit of the eukaryotic ribosome. Lineage: Eukaryota; Viridiplantae; Streptophyta; Magnoliopsida; Malvales; Malvaceae. The record is from Rfam by way of RNAcentral.
GAACGUAGCGAAAUGCGAUACUUGGUGUGAAUUGCAGAAUCCCCGUGAACCAUCGAGUCUUUGAACGCAAGUUGCGCCCCAAGCCAUUAGGCCGAGGGCACGUCUGCCUGGGUGUCA